GACGAACGCUGGCGGCGUGCUUAACACAUGCAAGUCGGACGGAAAGGCCCUGCUUUUGUGGGGUGCUCGAGUGGCGAACGGGUGAGUAACACGUGAGUAACCUGCCCUUGACUUUGGGAUAACUUCAGGAAACUGGGGCUAAUACCGGAUAGGAGCUCCUGCUGCAUGGUGGGGGUUGGAAAGUUUCGGCGGUUGGGGAUGGACUCGCGGCUUAUCAGCUUGUUGGUGGGGUAGUGGCUUACCAAGGCUUUGACGGGUAGCCGGCCUGAGAGGGUGACCGGCCACAUUGGGACUGAGAUACGGGCCAGACUCCUACGGGAGGCAGCAGUGGGGAAUAUUGCACAAUGGGCGGAAGCCUGAUGCAGCAACGCCGCGUGCGGGAUGACGGCCUUCGGGUUGUAAACCGCUUUCGCCUGUGACGAAGCGUGAGUGACGGUAAUGGGUAAAGAAGCACCGGCUAACUACGUG
This 468-nucleotide ribosomal RNA is filed under the name uncultured bacterium. Its description in RNAcentral is "partial 16S ribosomal RNA". It matches the Rfam family "Bacterial small subunit ribosomal RNA", at positions 28 to 507 of the family's 1533-position model. The record is from RNAcentral.